Malus domestica (apple) is the source of this 323-nucleotide non-coding RNA. The record is from RefSeq and is a predicted model, not a curated record. NCBI's taxonomy places the organism in Eukaryota, Viridiplantae, Streptophyta, Magnoliopsida, Rosales, Rosaceae.
AGGCUAAUAGGGCUCUUGUUGUGAGAAGGGAGAAGGACCUAAAUACAAAUUAGAGUCAGCAUAUGCAGUUAGGAAUGCCAUUGACAAUUAUGAUUCUAGGAUUGAAGAACUAGAACUUCAGCUGCAGAAGUGUGUAAUUGCAAAAAAUGACUUUGAGAUAAACGUGGAAUAAGCUGUCCAGGAUUCAGGAAGAAAGGACAUUAUAGCAGAGUUUCGUGUGAUGGCCUCAUCUUUGUGUAAAGAAAUGGGAAUGGUGGAAACUCAGUUGAAGCGGUGGAAGGAAACAGCUUAUGAAACACUUUCUUUACGUGACAAAGCCCAAU